ACACGGUCCAGACUCCUACGGGAGGCAGCAGUGGGGAAUAUUGGACAAUGGGGGCAACCCUGAUCCAGCCAUGCCGCGUGUGUGAAGAAGGCCUUCGGGUUGUAAAGCACUUUUGUCCGGAAAGAAAAGCACUGGGUUAAUACCCCGGUGUCAUGACGGUACCGGAAGAAUAAGCACCGGCUAACUUCGUGCCAGCAGCCGCGGUAAUACGAAGGGUGCAAGCGUUACUCGGAAUUACUGGGCGUAAAGCGUGCGUAGGUGGUGCGUUAAGUCUGUCGUGAAAGCCCCGGGCUCAACCUGGGAAUGGCGAUGGAUACUGGCGCGCUAGAGUGCGGUAGAGGAGAGUGGAAUUCCCGGUGUAGCAGUGAAAUGCGUAGAGAUCGGGAGGAACAUCAGUUGCGAAGGCGGCUCUCUGGACCAGCACUGACACUGAGGCACGAAAGCGUGGGGAGCAAACAGGAUUAGAUACCCUGGU
Molecule: ribosomal RNA, 475 nt
Filed under: uncultured bacterium
Lineage: Bacteria
Description: bacterial SSU rRNA
Rfam family: Bacterial small subunit ribosomal RNA
Source: RNAcentral